This 465-nucleotide ribosomal RNA is filed under the name uncultured Streptococcus sp. Its description in RNAcentral is "bacterial SSU rRNA". It matches the Rfam family "Bacterial small subunit ribosomal RNA", at positions 338 to 795 of the family's 1533-position model. The record is from RNAcentral. Lineage: Bacteria; Bacillati; Bacillota; Bacilli; Lactobacillales; Streptococcaceae.
CCUACGGGAGGCAGCAGUAGGGAAUCUUCGGCAAUGGACGGAAGUCUGACCGAGCAACGCCGCGUGAGUGAAGAAGGUUUUCGGAUCGUAAAGCUCUGUUGUAAGAGAAGAACGAGUGUGAGAGUGGAAAGUUCACACUGUGACGGUAUCUUACCAGAAAGGGACGGCUAAUUACGUGCCAGCAGCCGCGGUAAUACGUAGGUCCCGAGCGUUGUCCGGAUUUAUUGGGCGUAAAGCGAGCGCAGGCGGUUAGAUAAGUCUGAAGUUAAAGGCUGUGGCUUAACCAUAGUACGCUUUGGAAACUGUUUAACUUGAGUGCAAGAGGGGAGAGUGGAAUUCCAUGUGUAGCGGUGAAAUGCGUAGAUAUAUGGAGGAACACCGGUGGCGAAAGCGGCUCUCUGGCUUGUAACUGACGCUGAGGCUCGAAAGCGUGGGGAGCAAACAGGAUUAGAUACCCUAGUAGUC